RNAcentral lists this ribosomal RNA (429 nucleotides) under Gemmatimonadota bacterium. Its description in RNAcentral is "Gemmatimonadetes bacterium partial 16S ribosomal RNA". It matches the Rfam family "Bacterial small subunit ribosomal RNA", at positions 355 to 776 of the family's 1533-position model. The record is from RNAcentral. Lineage: Bacteria; Pseudomonadati; Gemmatimonadota.
UAGGGAAUCUUCGGCAAUGGACGAAAGUCUGACCGAGCAACGCCGCGUGAGUGAAGAAGGUUUUCGGAUCGUAAAACUCUGUUGUUAGAGAAGAACAAGGACAUUAGUAACUGAACGUCCCCUGACGGUAUCUAACCAGAAAGCCACGGCUAACUACGUGCCAGCAGCCGCGGUAAUACGUAGGUGGCAAGCGUUGUCCGGAUUUAUUGGGCGUAAAGCGAGCGCAGGCGGUUUCUUAAGUCUGAUGUGAAAGACCCCGGCUCAACCGGGGAGGGUCAUUGGAAACUGGGAGACUUGAGUGCAGAAGAGGAGAGUGGAAUUCCAUGUGUAGCGGUGAAAUGCGUAGAUAUAUGGAGGAACACCAGUGGCGAAGGCGGCUCUCUGGUCUGUAACUGACGCUGAGGCUCGAAAGCGUGGGGAGCAAACAGG